UCCGGCGGUGAAGGAUGAGCUCGCGGCCUAUCAGCUAGUUGGUGGGGUAACGGCCCACCAAGGCAUUGACGGGUAGCCGGCCUGAGAGGGUGACCGGCCACACUGGGACUGAGACACGGCCCAGACUCCUACGGGAGGCAGCAGUGGGGAAUAUUGGACAAUGGGCGAAAGCCUGAUCCAGCAACGCCGCGUGAGGGAUGACGGCCUUCGGGUUGUAAACCUCUUUCAGCAGGGACGAAGCGAAAGUGACUUUACCUGCAGAAGAAGCACCGGCCAACUACGUGCCAGCAGCCGCGGUGAUACGUAGGGUGCGAGCGUUGUCCGGAAUUAUUGGGCGUAAAGGGCUCGUAGGCGGUCCGUCACGUCGGGAGUGAAAACUCGGGGCUCAACCCCAAGCUUGCUCUCGAUACGGGCGGACUAGAGGUAGGUAGGGGAGAACGGAAUUCCUGGUGUAGCGGUGGAAUGCGCAGAUAUCAGGAGGAACACCGGUGGCGAAGGCGGUUCUCUGGGCCUUACCUGACGCUGAGGAGCGAAAGCGUGGGGAGCGAACAGGAUUAGAU
This 560-nucleotide ribosomal RNA is filed under the name uncultured bacterium. RNAcentral's name for it is "bacterial SSU rRNA". It matches the Rfam family "Bacterial small subunit ribosomal RNA", at positions 211 to 783 of the family's 1533-position model. The record is from RNAcentral.